Long non-coding RNA from Malurus melanocephalus (red-backed fairy wren), 70 nucleotides. RefSeq lists it as uncharacterized. The record is from RefSeq and is a predicted model, not a curated record. Lineage: Eukaryota; Metazoa; Chordata; Aves; Passeriformes; Maluridae. The transcript is spliced from 3 exons.
CUCAAGGAGGACGAUUUCACCUUCCUGAUGGCGCACAAGAACCGAAAGAGGAGGAUCGCCUGCACGGCCU